GGAGGGAUGGCUGAGUGGUUGAAGGCACCUGUCUUGAAAACAGGAGACUGUGAAAGCGGUCCGCGAGUUCGAAUCUCGCUCCCUCCGCCA
RNAcentral lists this transfer RNA (90 nucleotides) under Minisyncoccota bacterium. RNAcentral's name for it is "tRNA-Ser". It matches the Rfam family "tRNA". From Rfam's summary of the family: Transfer RNA (tRNA) molecules are approximately 80 nucleotides in length. Lineage: Bacteria; Bacillati; Minisyncoccota. The record is from RNAcentral.